RNAcentral lists this unclassified non-coding RNA (138 nucleotides) under soil metagenome. RNAcentral's name for it is "partial internal transcribed spacer 1". The record is from RNAcentral.
CCUAGAAUUGUAGGCUUUGCCUGCUAUCUCUUACCCAUGUCUUUUGAGUACCUUCGUUUCCUCGGCGGGUCCGCCCGCCGAUUGGACAAUUUAAACCAUUUGCAGUUGCAAUCAGCGUCUGAAAAAACUUAAUAGUUA